AUGGCUUUAGUUAGAAAAUAUGGAAAGCCAGACGUAUUCCUAACAAUGACCUGCAAUCCCAACUGGGAAGAGAUCACACGUGAACUAGAGUUUGGACAAACACCACAAGAUCGCCCAGACAUUGUCGUUCGUGUUUUCAGGGCGAAGCUAGAAGAAAUGAAGAAGCAACUAUUUGAGAAGGCCAUUCUUGGAAAGGUUACGGCAUAUACAUAUGUCGUAGAGUUCCAAAAGAGGGGAUUA
RNAcentral lists this ribosomal RNA (240 nucleotides) under Triticum aestivum (bread wheat). RNAcentral describes it as "partial small subunit ribosomal RNA". Lineage: Eukaryota; Viridiplantae; Streptophyta; Magnoliopsida; Poales; Poaceae. The record is from RNAcentral.